This 771-nucleotide ribosomal RNA is filed under the name uncultured Chloroflexota bacterium. RNAcentral describes it as "bacterial SSU rRNA". It matches the Rfam family "Bacterial small subunit ribosomal RNA", at positions 8 to 796 of the family's 1533-position model. The record is from RNAcentral. Lineage: Bacteria; Bacillati; Chloroflexota.
AGAGUUUGAUCAUGGCUCAGGAUCAACGCUGGCGGCGUGCCUAAUGCAUGCAAGUCGAGCGCGGGCUUCUUCGGGAGUGCUGCGCGGCGGACGGGUGCGUAACACGUGGGCAACCUGCCCUGGGGUGGGGGAUAGCCGCGGGAAACCGCGGGUAAUUCCGCAUACGUUGCGGCUUCGAUCGGGAGCGGCAAGAAAGACGCUUCGGCGUCGCCCUUGGAGGGGCCUGCGGCCGAUUAGCUAGUUGGUGGGGUAACGGCUUACCAAGGCGGUGAUCGGUAGCUGGUCUGAGAGGACGGCCAGCCACACGGGGACUGAGACACGGCCCCGACUCCUACGGGAGGCAGCAGCAAGGAAUCUCCCACAAUGGGCGCAAGCCCGAUGGAGCAACGCCGCGUGGAGGACGACGGCCUUCGGGUUGUAAACUCCUUUCGGGAGGGAUGAUACGGACAGUACCUCCAAAAGAAGCCCCGGCUAACUCUGUGCCAGCAGCCGCGGUAAUACAGGGGGGGCAAGCGUUGUCCGGACUUACUGGGCGUACAGCGCGCGCAGGUGGUCGGCUAAGUUCGUGGUGACAGCGUGCGGCUCAACCGCACAGGGUCCAUGGAGACUGGUCGACUAGAGGCAUCGAGAGGGAUACGGAAUACCCGGUGGAGCGGUGAAAUGCGUAGAGAUCGGGUGGAACACCAGCGGCGAAGGCGGUAUCCUGGCGAUGACCUGACACUGAGGUGCGACAGCGUGGGGAGCAAACGGGAUUAGAUACCCCAGUAGUCC